GAAGCAUGAGACUUUAUUUAAAUAUGUGCCACAUUACAUAUUUACUCAUAGAAAUAAGAGGGCCACUGGUGCUUGGAGCGACCAAUUAAAGAAACACUAUAGUAUUCCGAAUGGAAACCUUGAUUACUAAGACUAUGCUGACCCGGUCCCCAGUUAUAUACAACGAAUGCUCUCCCAACCCCACAUAUGCAAAUGCCUCCUUCUGCAACAUCACAGAGGCAGCACCGUCUCAUCCAUGAACGUCCGAUCCAAUGCUCUUCAUGUAGGAGAAUUGGGGACCUAAUGCUGCCUGCAAUCAAGUUUCGCAAUGUGGAAAGGACUGAGCUCUAUAACUUCGACAGAGAACUAUGGAGGCACUGAGCUGGAGGAUAAAGAGAUUUGAGUCCUUCAAUUUUAAUUUUCACACCUCACAAAUACCUAUUUGUUACAUAUAAGGGGUAGGUUAACAUUAAAAUAUUG
Pelobates cultripes (western spadefoot toad) is the source of this 459-nucleotide non-coding RNA. The record is from the annotation of a GenBank genome assembly. Lineage: Eukaryota; Metazoa; Chordata; Amphibia; Anura; Pelobatidae.